This 573-nucleotide long non-coding RNA is filed under the name Equus asinus (donkey). Its description in RNAcentral is "lncRNA (ENSEASG00005029781.1)". The record is from RNAcentral. Lineage: Eukaryota; Metazoa; Chordata; Mammalia; Perissodactyla; Equidae.
AGAUCUAAGAAUCUUGUUUUGUGGAUGGUGAACUCGCUGUUUUCCAAUGAGCUAGGCUGGUGCAGGGCUGAAUCUUUUGGUCACCACUACCACCGGGGGAGGCCUCUGAAUUUCUUGAAUUCUUCUGAGACCAAAAGAAGAAUAAAUCAAAGAAGAACUCUUACAUUGAUUCCAAAGGCAAAUUCACAAGACAAGUGCACAUUUAAAGUGAUGUAUUUUCUUCGACAUACAGUUUUGCCUGCAUUCUGUCCUAGGCAAUGACAGCAGAGAACGAAUAAUUCCCGAUGCGGUGUCUUCCAUCAGUUAAAGGGACUUGAAAAGGGGAACGAAGAACAACUGUGAAGUGUCCCUGUCUCAUGACCCUGUCAUAUUCUCAGGGAAACGAACAUGUGGAAGGCUGCAGGACAUCCCAGCAAAAGAGGCGAAAAGCUCCUGACUCUUGGGAAGAACGCUGCCCCUCACUUCCCCCAUUAGAGGGAGAGCUCCUCUAGCACCCUCACCUUUUCUGGACUGUUCAAAGACAGCCAGUAUGGGUUCCUGGGCUGGAGAAGUCCGACUAGCAAUUUUUCCCAG